This 497-nucleotide ribosomal RNA is filed under the name uncultured bacterium. RNAcentral's name for it is "partial 16S ribosomal RNA". It matches the Rfam family "Bacterial small subunit ribosomal RNA", at positions 28 to 507 of the family's 1533-position model. The record is from RNAcentral.
GAUGAACGCUGGCGGCGUGCCUAAUACAUGCAAGUCGAGCGAACAGAUGAGGAGCUUGCUCCUCUGACGUUAGCGGCGGGCGGGUGAUUAACACGUGGAUAACCUACCUAUAAGACUGGGAUAACUUCGGGAAACCGGAGCUAAUACCGGGUAAUAUAUUUAACCGCAUGGUUCAAUAGUGAAAGACGGUUUUGCUGUCACUUAUAGAUGGAUCCGCGCCGCAUUAGCUAGUUGGUAAGGUAACGGCUUACCAAGGCAACGAUGCGUAGCCGACCUGAGAGGGUGAUCGGCCACACUGGAACUGAGACACGGUCCCGACUCCUACGGGAGGCAGCAGUAGGGAAUCUUCCGCAAUGGGCGAAAGCCUGACGGAGCAACGCCGCGUGAGUGAUGAAGGUCUUCGGAUCGUAAAACUCUGUUAUUAGGGAAGAACAAAUGUGUAAGUAACUAUGCACGUCUUGACGGUACCUAAUCAGAAAGCCACGGCUAACUACGUG